UGUUUAAUAAAAACAUUUYUGAGAAAAUUUUCAGUAUACUCUGCCCAGUGUUAAUAUAUAAAUGGCCGCGUAGCGCUAAGGUAGCGUAAUUACUUGCUUUUUAAAUAAAAGAUUGAUUGAAAGAGUGAACUUGGAGCUAUUGUUUUUUUAGUAUAUGAAUUUAAUAAUUUUGUCAAAAUUCAAUUGAUGAGUAGGGGACGAGAAGACCCUAGAAUUUUAAGUUUUUACUUUUAAUGGGGCAUUACCUUGGUAAACAAGGGAUAAGAUUUGAUGGAAGAAAAAUUACUCUAGGGGUAACAGGGCAAUUUAAUUGAAAGUUCAUAUUAAAAAUUAAGUUUGCUACCUCGAUGUUGAAUUAGAGGGUAGCCUUAGGGCAUAAAAUAAGGUUAUAGGGCCUGUUCGGCCUAAAUAUCUCUACAUGAUUUGAGUUUAAACCGG
RNAcentral lists this ribosomal RNA (438 nucleotides) under Austromacrostomum arumoidicornum. Its description in RNAcentral is "partial 16S ribosomal RNA". It matches the Rfam family "Bacterial large subunit ribosomal RNA", at positions 1801 to 2619 of the family's 2925-position model. Lineage: Eukaryota; Metazoa; Platyhelminthes; Dolichomicrostomida; Dolichomacrostomidae. The record is from RNAcentral.